CUGGCAGAAAGAAACACUUCUGUCUUUAACUCUAGCAGUGGGGGAACAUGGACGAGGUCAGUUGCUUUCUGUAAUAAGGAUUUUUAUGCCCCCAGGCCUGCUCUGAUGUAAAAGUCCCUAUUCCAGAAUAAAACGUGAGAGGAGGCUCAGAAGUGGCAACAGUGAGGGGACAGACCUUCCUAAUCCUCUUUCUCGCUGCGGACGGAAGGAACUGCUCUCCUUCGAAAGCCUUCCCAAGAGUGCCUGGGCUUGUAAAUGAUUUUAGCCGUGGUGCAAGUUGCUGGGCUGAUGUCUCCCCAUGGCUGAUCCCCAAAUAGCUUCAGCACAGGCAGGAGCAGGGCAGGUGUAUCACAGUUCUGACUUACAGACACCACCUCUAGGGGAGUUCAGUCACGGUGGCCCGUUCACUCUUUGGCGGCUCUGCUGAGGCUGUCAAGCAGGGGGCCAAUUAGUGCCGGUUGUGGACGUGCGUUUUGUGUGACAGGUGCUGGUCCACUAGGAACUGGUCCAAGUUUCCCCCGUCAUUUCACACAGGCCGUGAACAGCAAUCUGGUGGUAAGAAGCAUGGGUCACUAGAAAGUGACCUUGAGGUGAAAGGCUCAUAUCUCAUUAUUGGUUCCCUGAGCCAGCAACCCACUUGGUCUCUUUGAAUCAGAAAAAUGGUAUUGAACCCAUUGAACCUGCUGGCUGGUGUUCAGUCUUGUGUGUUUCCCAGCAGACACGUGGGAACUGUAAUUAAAAUCCUCCAUGACUACCA
Long non-coding RNA from Mauremys reevesii (Reeves's turtle), 757 nucleotides. RefSeq lists it as uncharacterized. NCBI's taxonomy places the organism in Eukaryota, Metazoa, Chordata, Testudines, Geoemydidae. The transcript is spliced from 2 exons. The record is from RefSeq and is a predicted model, not a curated record.